This is a long non-coding RNA of Callithrix jacchus (white-tufted-ear marmoset), 3742 nucleotides long. RefSeq lists it as uncharacterized. The record is from RefSeq and is a predicted model, not a curated record. NCBI's taxonomy places the organism in Eukaryota, Metazoa, Chordata, Mammalia, Primates, Cebidae.
GCCAUGUUGAUGCUGUCCAGCUGCUGCCGCACAGGUACAUGUUGGAGGCGGUGCCAGGGGAGGCCAUAGGAAGGAGGCUGCAAGUCACAAGCAGCGCAGGACCCUGAUAGUCCUGACCUCACUACCUCCUUGAGCCGACUCUCCUGUUCGGGUCGGGUGUAGGAGGAGUGCCCUUCAGACCGUGAGGUGAACUUUCUCUCCUUGUGCAUUACUGAAUGGAGGUUGCCUUGACUUGUGCCUUUUAUCUCACAAUGGGAGAGUGAAUUGUUCCUGCAGAGGGGACCAAAUAUUGCUAGAGGACAACAGAUGUCUAAAAAUUCCUCCUGCAACAUUUAUUCAGAGUUUGAAUGUGGAAAUCGUGAGUGUAUCAAGCACCAGCUCACUUGUGAUGGCAUUCCCCAUUGUAAGGACAAAUCACAUGAAAAACUGCUCUACUGUGGUUUUUCUUAAAAAGAUGGGAGUCGCAUUAUGUUGUCCAGACUGAUCUCAAACUCCUGAGCUCAAGCAACUUUCCGCCUUGGACUCACAAGUUGUUCAGGUUUGAACACCACACUUAGCCAGAAAAUGAAUAUUUUUCAAAGUAGGAGCUAAUCUUUUAACUUCCUAGUUAUUCAUCUUUAGCAAUAGGUUUUAGGCUUACUUUCCUUAAAAUGUAACUCAGAAAUUUCAGUGAUUUUUGAAUAUUACAGGAUUACUCUGAAGCAAAGUUGCACCAAUAGGCAAUAGCACAUUUUUAGGUUGUUAUCAAAGUCUUGUCAAUUCUAUUUAUGUCUCCAAGAUUAGCAUGGUAGCUAGUGUCCUUUGGUACUAAGGCUUAUUGCCUUAGUCAUGGCCCACAUCAUACACUGAAUUCCACUACCUAUGCUUCUGUUGGCAACACCAAGCGAUAAUUAACCUCUAUCCUCCCUGAGGAGUAGAGAUUGGCUUUUCCACUGUAGUAAGCAACUGAGAUUUACCUUCAUUGCAAUAAUAUUUUUUCUUGGAAAUUUGUCUUUUUGUAAUCAUUGGUAAUCAUUAUAUAUUUGAUCCAGAAUUUUAACAACUUGGUGUGAUUUAUUUUUGCUUCUGGAAAUCUAAUGGCAUUGAGAUUGUGUGCUAUGCAAAAUUUAGGAAUCUAUAUCUGAAAUUGCUGCAUUUUAUAUCUACUCUUCUAUUCCAUUAUCUGGGUAAUAAUUACACCUAAAUAAUUAAUGAAAAGUUAGAACAAGAGGAAGACUGAAUCUGUGAGAUCCACAGACAGUCCUGUCAUUCUAUUGUAUUACAGAAUAACACACCAUCAUUUAAAAUGAGAGUCUAGUAUAAUUUGGCCAUAACUGAUCUAUAACCAAUGGCCUAAAUAAUUUACCUGAAAUAAUAUAUUCACUUUAAUAAAUGGUUAUAUUCUAUACAAUAUAUAAAUAUUAAAACAGAUAAAAUUUUUUGUAAUCAACUCACAGGUUUGCAAUUACCAUAAAUUGACUUGACAUUAUAUUUCAUGUCAUUUUUAUCUUUGUAGAAGUCACAUGAUAUUUGUGUAGAGCAGGAGUUGGCUAACAUUCUCUAUGAAGGUUCAGCUAGUAAAUAGGCUAGGUUUUGUGGGUCAUAUACACUUUCUGUCACAUAUACUCUGUUGUUUAUUAUUUACCAUCAUUUUAACAUGUAAAAAUUAUUCUUAGUUCAAGAGCCACAUAAAAACAGUCUCACAGCCUAGAUAUGUCCUAUGGGCAAUAGUUUGCCAACCCCAGGUGUAGAGUAUAGGCUUUGGACUCACACCUGAGGUUAAAUCUGUGUUCCCAAACCUUCUAGUGUAACUAGGCUAGUGUCCAAACCCUAAUGUGCUAGGGUAAGCAACAUAACAAAACUCUAAGUUGUAGUUUUCUACUAUGAAACAACUAGCUCUUAUAGCUGUUGAGAGCAUUAAACCAGAAUGCAUUUAUCUACAUAUAUUCAAUACAGAGCCUGGGGCAAAGCUGGCAUUUAAUACAUGGCAGCUAUUAUUAUUUUAAAUGGUACCUUCUGUCCCAAAUCAAAGAAUGUCAAGAAACCUUAAUAAUGGUAAAUAGAACUCAGAAGGUAAUCCUUUCUCAGGGAAUUCUGUAGAUAUUUUCAUUUUUAAGAGAAAUGUAUUGACAUUUAGAUGACUCUAUGAGACACUGAUUCAGGAAUACAUGCUUUGUUGCUUUUUUUCUUGUUAUAAAAUCCUUGCAGAUAGAUGCCAAGGAUAUAGAAAAUGGAUGUUGGAGUGUUUUUGUUACUUUUGAGGUUCAUAUUUAUUUCUUCAGAAUGGAAUAUGUGAUGCAUAUUUAUUUCUGUGCUACUUUACAGAAGUACCAGAAACAAUAAUGUGGGCAUAACUUGAAAAGAUCUCCAGGCAUCAAUCACUAAAGUUAAGACACUAAGUCAAAAAGGGUCCUUGCUGAAUGAACUACUCUUUGACAAUUCAUAAACAUGCUAAUCCAGAGCUUUUUUACAGCACAGCACUUUUUUAUAGAUCCAUAAUCCAGUCAUUGUGAAUGAAAUAUCUGUGAUUUCCAUUUUGUACAAGUGCUUCUAUAUGAUCUCUGGUUGAGUUUAUACUUUUAUUUAUAAGAAAAUGGAAGCUGUUAAAGAGGCUUCAAGCAUUGCUAUAAUCACCAUUGCAUUCCACAUGGCAAGUUAUGUGAUGGAGAAAAUGACUGUGGAGACAACUCUGAUAAAUUAGAUUAUAAAGAGAAAUACUUGUUCCAUCAGUAUAGGAGUAUUGGUGUGCUAAGUGUUUCCAGAACUUUUCCAACAUUUGUUUCUGAGAGAUCUAUGGUAUGUAAGAACUAGUAACAUCUAGGGAUCACUCUUUGGUAAAUGCUGCUGGAAUGUAGUUGCUAAAGUUAUGUGAAAAUUGUCAGUAUGUUCUCUAUUUCUGUUUUCUACUCCUUUGCUCACUUUAAAACUCUUAUAAUUUCUUACCUCUUCAGUUCCACCUUGCUGGAUCUGAACAUCUCUACCAGAAUGAGUAAUAUGGAAUUUUUCUGCUCCGAAAAAUGUUCCAUUUUGAUCCUUAGUUCUCUGUUUUACUCAUGACCACAUUUUCCUUACCACUGGACAGGAAACCUUGGUGGUCUCCUUAAUUUCUCCUUCCCACAUAUUCAGUUACCAACAAAUAUUCCAGUUAUUUCAAAUAACUUCUAUUUCAAUCCACUUUAAGCCUGGAUUCACAGAGUAUCUCUUUACUUAGUUUUACUGCCUAUGCUUUUUUCAGUUCAUAUUUAUGUUAUCAGUCAUGCUAAUACUGUUUAACAUUUUCACAAAGUGAUUAUUAUAAUAGAUGAUCAAGCCAAACUACCUGAGUUAGAAAAAACUGGUGCCCAAACAUUUAUUGUCUAUAUUUGGGUAUGACACUUAACUGACCCAUGUCUCAGUUUCCCAGACAGCAAGGUAGAAAAAAUAAUUAAGUAAGAAUAACAAUAUUAAAUUAGGUUAAAACAAGAUUUGGCAAUAGUGAAUACUAUGUUGGCACUGGCUAUAAAAUAUGUGUAUUGCACUGAUAAAGAAUCAUUUAAUGGAAUACAAUGUUUGCAGAAUAAAUGCUGUUUUAGUCUGACAUUAAAAGCUUUCUUAAAUCUAGACACAACAGUUACUUCUAAACCAUUAUCACUUUAAAGCCUUCUCAUUCAAUGAACACACUUUAUUGAGUGCAGUCCAUUAAGGUUCAAGACACAAAAUUCAUGAGACAUGAGCCUGUACUCAAGAAUAUCAAAUUCUAAUCCCAAGACAGCCGUGUAAGCAG